Molecule: long non-coding RNA, 1664 nt
Organism: Crocodylus porosus (Australian saltwater crocodile)
Lineage: Eukaryota; Metazoa; Chordata; Crocodylia; Crocodylidae
Source: Ensembl
GUAAAUAGGAUGGAUUAUUUGGGGGGAUUAACAUUAUAAAUAUUGGUGCUGGGAUGUUCACAAAUCAAAAUGACUUGAUGAACUGCAGAAUCAGGUCUUCCUGUCGCUGUAAAUAACCACCCAGGGCAGAGUUGGAAAGUACAGUACUUUCCCAGCAUGAGAUCAGACUGUGUCUCAGCUGGUUAAAAUGCUUCCCCUACUUUUAAUGCAUCUAUAAAACUUUACAGUUUAAGUGUAAACAAGCACUUUUUAGCCUCCUUCCCAGACAGAAGAGGGAAUCUCUGUGGCUGCUUGCUUAAAGAAACAAAUGGAGUCACUGAAUUGACAGACGUAUCCUUGACCAUCCUUUAGUUAAUGAAUUAGGUUCAUCAGUCUACUCCUCAACUCAGGUGGAGUCAUCUAGAGGGAAGGCCAGAAGGGCUUCCCAGUGGAAAGUCCCUGAGGAGAAAGGCUCUAUUUUCCAAUGGGGAGGAUGUCACAAGAACUGCGGUGGGGAUUUCUCUGCAGAUCAUUGCUGUACCUUCCUGGAUUGCCUUUUAUAGCUACAAGUGGGCUUUGGAUCAGACAGUGUUCAUCAGGAAGCAGCAGUUUGGUUUGUAAACUCAGUGUCUUUUGGAAAGGGAAAAAGUUACUUCUUUCUCAGGCUGAUGCAUUUUUUGGAUGAGCAAUGCACGUAGAAAGCACUGUGUUCUCUGUACUUUUGCUGCAGUUUGCAAAAGAGAGGUCACAGGAUGUACAGGUAAGUCUCAAUAUCCUUCAUUCUUGUCUUAUUGAUAACUACAAGGCUACAAUGCAAGAAGAAUGUCCCAAGGAGUAUUUGAGCAAAGUCAAAAUCUGAGUUCCCAUUUCUGGAUUUCUUCUUCCAGGGUCCCAGUAGGCAUAGGAGUGGGGAGAUGACAAAGAUUUCCUCUGCUUUUUGUUCCAGGAGUCCCCCAUGUUUCAUUCUUCUGUCAAGAUCCUAGAGGCACUAAGAACAAACAGUUUCCAUCCAGCUGCUGGGUGACUCAGAAUAGAUCCUGGUUGAGAAGUGCCCCUGAUGCGAGUCUCACGUUUACACAACUAGGUCUUCUCACCCUAUUCCUAAUCUGCAUAGGAAAAGGGAGACAGACCAUCCAGACCAAAGUAUUUUGCAGAGGGGAGCAUUGUAUGAAGGUGUCUUUAAACCAGGCUAGUUUCAACAUGAAGGCAUUCCAGUAAUGUGGGAUUGCAGGACUGUAGAAACUUGCUAGCUAUACCCACUUCUCUCUGGGCAUGAUCCUGGAUGUGUUGGGGGAGUGGUGUAGAGCUAAGUAAACUGUAGAUUACAUCGGGAAUACCCUGUGGGAGCCAAACGUGCUUUCUUUAUGUCAAUCUGGCACAGCCAUAGUGGGGCUAUGCAUCUAAGGGAGGAAUUUCACGUCCUGGGAUCUUUGACUGAAUGAGUGGUUUGCAUGAGUUCACCUGGUCCUGCUUUAUGAGCACAGGGGUUGCAUGGCUGUCUUUCUGUGCUGUUAUAGGCAGUAAAUAACUUUACAUACCGUGUUCUUAUGACACUCUAUAGUAAAUCACUGAGGUUCCACUUUCCAUGCUCGUGUCUCAGCUACUUGUGUGAGUCUUGACUGGCAUGAUUAGAGUUCUGAGCAGACUUCAAACCUUUACUGAGUGCCCGUCCUGUCCCUGGUAUU